This 119-nucleotide ribosomal RNA is filed under the name Solenopsis invicta (red fire ant). Lineage: Eukaryota; Metazoa; Arthropoda; Insecta; Hymenoptera; Formicidae. The record is from RNAcentral.
GGCAACGUUCAUAUCACGCUCAAAGUACCAGUUCUCGUCCGAUCACUGAAGUCAAGCAGCGUUGGGCACGGUUAGUACUUGGAUGGGUGACCGCUUGGGAACACCGUGUAAUGUUGUCC